UAUUUCUGAAAGUAGCGCACGGGUGAGUAAUACGUAGGUGACCUGCCUUGAAGUGGGGGAUAACGACUGGAAACGGUUGCUAAUACCGCAUGAGACCAAUUCACUGGGAAGUGGGAUGGUGAAAACUCUGGUGCUUCAAGAGGGGCCUGCGGCCGAUUAGCUAGUUGGCGGGGUAAGAGCCCACCAAGGCGACGAUCGGUAGCUGGUCUGAGAGGACGAUCAGCCACACGGGAACUGAGACACGGUCCCGACUCCUACGGGGGGCAGCAGUGAGGAAUAUUGGGCAAUGGGCGCAAGCCUGACCCAGCAACGCCGCGUGGAGGAAGACGGCCUUCGGGUUGUAAACUCCUUUUACGGGGGAAGAGGAAGGACGGCACCCCGAGAAUAAGUCACGGCUAACUACGUGCCAGCAGCCGCGGUAAUACGUAGGUGACAAGCGUUAUCCGGAAUUACUGGGCGUAAAGCGCACGCAGGCGGCGUGGUAAGUCUGAUGUGAAAUCUCCCGGCUUAACUGGGAGGGGUCAUUGGAAACUGCCGUGCUCGAGGCGGUGAGAGGGGUGUAGAAUUCCCGGUGUAGUGGUGGAAUGCGUAGAUAUCGGGAGGAAUACCAGUGGCGAAAGCGGCACCCUGGCACUAGCCUGACGCUCAUGUGCGAAGGCGUGGGGAGCGAACGGGAUUAGAUACCCCGGUAGUCCACGCGGUAAACGAUGAAUACUAGGUGUGGGUGGAGUGAAAUCCAUCUGUGCCGAAGCAAACGC
This 758-nucleotide ribosomal RNA is filed under the name uncultured Caldilinea sp. Its description in RNAcentral is "bacterial SSU rRNA". It matches the Rfam family "Bacterial small subunit ribosomal RNA", at positions 84 to 858 of the family's 1533-position model. The record is from RNAcentral. Lineage: Bacteria; Bacillati; Chloroflexota; Caldilineae; Caldilineales; Caldilineaceae.